RNAcentral lists this ribosomal RNA (497 nucleotides) under uncultured bacterium. RNAcentral's name for it is "partial 16S ribosomal RNA". It matches the Rfam family "Bacterial small subunit ribosomal RNA", at positions 28 to 507 of the family's 1533-position model. The record is from RNAcentral.
GAUGAACGCUGGCGGCGUGCCUAAUACAUGCAAGUCGAGCGAACAGACGAGGAGCUUGCUCCUCUGACGUUAGCGGCGGACGGGUGAGUAACACGUGGAUAACCUACCUAUAAGACUGGGAUAACUUCGGGAAACCGGAGCUAAUACCGGAUAAUAUAUUGAACCGCAUGGUUCAACAGUGAAAGUCGGUUUUGCUGUCUCUUCUCGAUGGAUCCGCGCCGCAUUAGCUAGUUGGUAAGUUAACGGCUUACCAAGGCGACGAUGCGUAGCCGAGCUGAGAGGGGGAUCGCCCGCACUGGAACGUAGACACGGUCCAGACUCCUACGGGAGGCAGCAGUAGGGAAUCUUCCGCAAUGGGCGAAAGCCUGACGGAGCAACGCCGCGUGAGUGAUGAAGGUCUUCGGAUCGUAAAACUCUGUUAUGAGGGAAGAACAAAUGUGUAAGUAACUAUGCACGUCUUGACGGUACCUAAUCAGAAAGCCACGGCUAACUACGUG